RNAcentral lists this ribosomal RNA (426 nucleotides) under uncultured Pseudomonadaceae bacterium. Its description in RNAcentral is "bacterial SSU rRNA". It matches the Rfam family "Bacterial small subunit ribosomal RNA", at positions 356 to 774 of the family's 1533-position model. The record is from RNAcentral. Lineage: Bacteria; Pseudomonadati; Pseudomonadota; Gammaproteobacteria; Pseudomonadales; Pseudomonadaceae.
GGGGAAUAUUGGACAAUGGGCGAAAGCCUGAUCCAGCCAUGCCGCGUGUGUGAAGAAGGUCUUCGGAUUGUAAAGCACUUUAAGUUGGGAGGAAGGGCUGCAAGUUAAUACCUUGUAGUUUUGACGUUACCAGCAGAAUAAGCACCGGCUAACUUCGUGCCAGCAGCCGCGGUAAUACGAAGGGUGCAAGCGUUAAUCGGAAUUACUGGGCGUAAAGCGCGCGUAGGUGGUUUGGUAAGAUGGAUGUGAAAUCCCCGGGCUCAACCUGGGAACUGCAUCCAUAACUGCCUGACUAGAGUACGGUAGAGGGUGGUGGAAUUUCCUGUGUAGCGGUGAAAUGCGUAGAUAUAGGAAGGAACACCAGUGGUGAAAACAGGUAGCUGGGGUUGUGCUGACGCUGAGACACGAAAGCUAGGGGAGCGAACG